CGGAUCUCAGAUCAAGCAAGAGGACCCGCCGAAUUUAAGCAUAUAAUUAAGCGGAGGAAAAGAAACUAACUAGGAUUCCCUC
This 82-nucleotide ribosomal RNA is filed under the name Pseudo-nitzschia pungens. RNAcentral's name for it is "partial 28S ribosomal RNA". It matches the Rfam family "Eukaryotic large subunit ribosomal RNA", at positions 1 to 81 of the family's 3401-position model. Lineage: Eukaryota; Bacillariophyta; Bacillariophyceae; Bacillariales; Bacillariaceae. The record is from RNAcentral.